Molecule: ribosomal RNA, 1261 nt
Filed under: metagenome
Description: bacterial LSU rRNA
Rfam family: Bacterial large subunit ribosomal RNA
Source: RNAcentral
AUAUACGACCGUACCGCAAACCGACACUGGUGCGCGAGAUGAGUAUUCUAAGGCGCUUGAGAGAACUCAGGAGAAGGAACUCGGCAAAUUGACACCGUAACUUCGGAAGAAGGUGUGCCCUAUUAGUGUGUAGUGAACAACGAAGCAUGAAUGGGUUGCAAAAAAUCGGUGGCUGCGACUGUUUAUUAAAACACAGCACUCUGCAAACACGAAAGUGGACGUAUAGGGUGUGACGCCUGCCCGGUGCUGGAAGAUUAAAUGAUGGGGUGCAAGCUCUUGAUUGAAGUCCCAGUAAACGGCGGCCGUAACUAUAACGGUCCUAAGGUAGCGAAAUUCCUUGUCGGGUAAGUUCCGACCUGCACGAAUGGCGUAACGAUGGCCACACUGUCUCCUCCUGAGACUCAGCGAAGUUGAAAUGUUUGUGAUGAUGCAAUCUCCCCGCGGAAAGACGGAAAGACCCCAUGAACCUUUACUGUAGCUUUGUAUUGGACUUUGAACAGAUCUGUGUAGGAUAGGUGGGAGGCUUUGAAGCAGGGUCGCUAGAUCUUGUGGAGCCAACGUUGAAAUUCCACCCUGGUGUGUUUGAGGUUCUAACCUAGGUCCAUUAUCUGGAUCGGGGACAGUGCAUGGUAGGCAGUUUGACUGGGGCGGUCUCCUCCCAAAGCGUAACGGAGGAGUUCGAAGGUACGCUAGUUACGGUCGGACAUCGUGACGAUAGUGCAAUGGCAUAAGCGUGCUUAACUGCGAGACUGACAAGUCUAGCAGAUGCGAAAGCAGGACAUAGUGAUCCGGUGGUUCUGUAUGGAAGGGCAUCGCUCAACGGAUAAAAGGUACUCUGGGGAUAACAGGCUGAUACCGCCCAAGAGUUCAUAUCGACGGCGGUGUUUGGCACCUCGAUGUCGGCUCAUCUCAUCCUGGGGCUGUAGCCGGUCCCAAGGGUAUGGCUGUUCGCCAUUUAAAGAGGUACGUGAGCUGGGUUUAAAACGUCGUGAGACAGUUUGGUCCCUAUCUUCCGUGGGCGCUGCAGAUUUGAGGAAGCCUGCUCCUAGUACGAGAGGACCGGAGUGGACACACCUCUGGUGUAUCGGUUGUCACGCCAGUGGCAUUGCCGAGUAGCUAAGUGUGGGAGAGAUAACCGCUGAAAGCAUCUAAGCGGGAAACUCGUUUCAAGAUGAGAUCUGCCGGGGCCUUGAGCCCCCUAAAGAGUCGUUCAAGACCAGGACGUUGAUAGGUCAGGUGUGGAAGCGAAAAAAAAACAAAA